UACGGAGGGGGGCUAGCGUUGUUCGGAAUUACUGGGCGUAAAGCGCACGUAGGCGGCGAUCUAAGUCAGAGGUGAAAGCCCGGGGCUCAACCCCGGAAUAGCCUUUGAGACUGGAUUGCUAGAAUCUUGGAGAGGCGGGUGGAAUUCCGAGUGUAGAGGUGAAAUUCGUAGAUAUUCGGAAGAACACCAGUGGCGAAGGCGGCCCGCUGGACAAGUAUUGACGCUGAGGUGCGAAAGCGUGGGGAGCAAACAGG
This 254-nucleotide ribosomal RNA is filed under the name uncultured bacterium. Its description in RNAcentral is "partial 16S ribosomal RNA". It matches the Rfam family "Bacterial small subunit ribosomal RNA", at positions 524 to 776 of the family's 1533-position model. The record is from RNAcentral.